This 403-nucleotide ribosomal RNA is filed under the name uncultured bacterium. Its description in RNAcentral is "bacterial SSU rRNA". It matches the Rfam family "Bacterial small subunit ribosomal RNA", at positions 29 to 428 of the family's 1533-position model. The record is from RNAcentral.
AUUGAACGCUGGCGGCAUGCCUAACACAUGCAAGUCGAACGGCAGCACGGCAGUAGCAAUACUGUGGGUGGCGAGUGGCGGACGGGUGAGGAAUACGUCGGAAUCUGCCCCAGUCGUGGGGGAUAACUAGCCGAAAGGUUAGCUAAUACCGCAUACGACCGAGAGGUGAAAGCGGGGGACCGCAAGGCCUCGCGCGAUUGGAUGAGCCGACGUCGGAUUAGCUAGUUGGUGGGGUAAAGGCCCACCAAGGCGACGAUCCGUAGCUGGUCUGAGAGGAUGAUCAGCCACACUGGAACUGAGACACGGUCCAGACUCCUACGGGAGGCAGCAGUGGGGAAUAUUGGACAAUGGGCGCAAGCCUGAUCCAGCAAUGCCGCGUGUGUGAAGAAGGCCUCGGUUGUAA